ACGGGUGAGUAACACGUGAGUAACCUGCCCUUGACUCUGGGAUAAGCCUGGGAAACUGGGUCUAAUACCGGAUAUGACCUUCCAUCGCAUGGUGGUUGGUGGAAAGCUUUUGCGGUUUUGGAUGGACUCGCGGCCUAUCAGCUUGUUGGUGGGGUAAUGGCCUACCAAGGCGACGACGGGUAGCCGGCCUGAGAGGGUGACCGGCCACACUGGGACUGAGACACGGCCCAGACUCCUACGGGAGGCAGCAGUGGGGAAUAUUGCAAAAUGGGCGGAAGCCUGAUGCAGCGACGCCGCGUGAGGGAUGACGGCCUUCGGGUUGUAAACCUCUUUCAGUAGGGAAGAAGCGUAAGUGACGGUACCUGCAGAAGAAGCGCCGGCUAACUACGUGCCAGCAGCCGCGGUAAUACGUAGGGCGCAAGCGUUAUCCGGAAUUAUUGGGCGUAAAGAGCUCGUAGGCGGUUUGUCGCGUCUGCCGUGAAAGUCCGGGGCUCAACUCCGGAUCUGCGGUGGGUACGGGCAGACUAGAGUGAUGUAGGGGAGACUGGAAUUCCUGGUGUAGCGGUGAAAUGCGCAGA
RNAcentral lists this ribosomal RNA (578 nucleotides) under Arthrobacter sp. HRTK124. RNAcentral describes it as "bacterial SSU rRNA". It matches the Rfam family "Bacterial small subunit ribosomal RNA", at positions 102 to 694 of the family's 1533-position model. The record is from RNAcentral. Lineage: Bacteria; Bacillati; Actinomycetota; Actinomycetes; Micrococcales; Micrococcaceae.